GUAAUUCCUCAAAUGACAAAAUGAAUUUAUCUACAUUUCUAAUAAUGAAAUCAGCUUCAUCACUGGAAUGGGAUCCUGGUAGCAGACUUCUCAGUCAUCUUGCAGCAAUGUGGAAGGACAUGUUUGCUUCUCCUGCCAUGGCUGGAAGUUUCCUGAGGCCUCCCCAGCCAUCCUGAACUGCUCAUAGGCAGAAGGGACUUGCCUUGUCUCAGAUGAGACUUUGGACUUGGACUUUUGAGACCAUACUGGAAUGAUUUAAGACUUUGGGGGACUAUUGGAAGGACAUGAUUAUUUUUUGAAUUGUGAGGACAUGAGAUUUGGGAGGGGCCAGGGGCAGAAUGAUAUGGUUUUGCCAUGUCCCCCCGCCCAAAUCUCAUCUUGAAUUAUAGUUCCCAUAAUCCCCACAUGUCAUAGGAAGUAUCUGGUAGGAGGUAAUUGAAUCAUGGGGGUGGUUCCCCCAUGCUAUUCUUGUGAUAGUGAGUUCUCAGGAGAUCUGAUGGUUUUAUAAGGGGCUUCCCCUGCACUUGGUUUUUCAUUCUUCUGUCGCCUGCUGCCAUGUGAAGAAAGAAGUGUUUGCUUCCCCUUCCAUCAUGGUUGGACGUUUCCUGAGGCCUCUCCAGUCAUGCUGAGCUAGGUACCUGGUGCCAGUUCCUGAGACUUGAGGAUUCUGGUUGGUUCUCAGCACAGGAGUCAGCCUGCUCUGAUUUGCUAGUGCGUCUAGAGUGUUGACAGUUGUUUCCAUGGACUUCAAAUCAACCCAACCCUGUGAGCACAGACUUUCAGCACCAGAGUCAGAUUUCCCAAAAAUGCUAUUCUUGAAGCGUAGAGCCAGACUCACAGAUCCUGUAAAGAAAACAGAUCUUUCAGCAAGUGAAACACCCAAUCUUCCAUUGCAUGGGACUCACAGAGGUUCUGAGGGAGAGAUGUGAAUAGAAGGAGUGAUCAUCACUGUGGACUCUAUUUCUUCCAUCUGUGCGUGCAAGAUUUAUAUCUGUAUGUGUUUGUUUUAAAGUUUUAUUGAGGUAUAAUUGAUACACAAUAAUCUGUACCUAUUUAAUGUAUACAAUUUGAUGAGUUUGGACAUACUUAAAUACCUGUGAAACCAUCACCACAAUCAAGGUAAUAGACAUAGCCAUCACCUCCAAAAGUUUCUUUGUGUCCCUUUGUGGUUUGUUUCUGAGAUAAGAACACUUAACAUGUGGACUCUUGACACUCUCCUUGGAUCUCUUAAUUUGAUUGCUGUUGCUGUCACCACAUUGACUUCCUAGCCCUGCUGAUCCUCCUUUAUCACUAGCUCUAGAAAAAAAAACAAACCAAA
This 1318-nucleotide long non-coding RNA is filed under the name Homo sapiens (human). RNAcentral's name for it is "HSALNT0393776". The record is from RNAcentral. Lineage: Eukaryota; Metazoa; Chordata; Mammalia; Primates; Hominidae.